This 232-nucleotide long non-coding RNA is filed under the name Elaeis guineensis (African oil palm). Its description in RNAcentral is "long non-coding RNA (EGUI_LNC034646)". Lineage: Eukaryota; Viridiplantae; Streptophyta; Magnoliopsida; Arecales; Arecaceae. The record is from RNAcentral.
GAUAUUUUUGGUUAUUAGCAACAGAAUGCUAUCACUAUAAAAUUAAAUUAUUAUUAGCGAUGGCUUUAGCGAUAUAAUUUAGUUAUCACUAAUAAUCUACCCUAAAAACCCCCUAGGUCUACGAUGGGCUCGAUUCUAUCAGCCACCAUCUCUCCUCCCCUCCCCCACCUCUGAUCCCCACUUCCCCCGUCCCACCACUGGAGCCCCCAAACUCCUCCCCCCAACCCCCACA